RNAcentral lists this ribosomal RNA (335 nucleotides) under uncultured bacterium. Its description in RNAcentral is "partial 16S ribosomal RNA". It matches the Rfam family "Bacterial small subunit ribosomal RNA", at positions 338 to 670 of the family's 1533-position model. The record is from RNAcentral.
CCUACGGGCGGCAGCAGUGAGGAAUAUUGGUCAAUGGACGAGAGUCUGAACCAGCCAAGUAGCGUGAAGGAUGACUGCCCUAUGGGUUGUAAACUUCUUGUAUAGGGGAAUAAAAUGUUCCACGUGUGGGAUUUUGUAUGUACCAUAUGAAUAAGGAUCGGCUAACGCCGUGCCAGCAGCCGCGGUAAUACGGAGGAUCCGAGCGUUAUCCGGAUUUAUUGGGGUGAAAGGGAGCGUAGGGGGCUUGUUAAGUCAGUUUUGAAAGUUUGCGGCUCAACCGUAAAAUUGCAGUUGAAACUGGCAGUCUUGCGUACAGUAGCGGUGGGCGGACUUCG